GCCCCUUUAGUUCAGUGGAAGAAUGUUAAAGACUUGGGUUCGAUCCCCAAAGGGGGCUCCA
This 61-nucleotide transfer RNA is filed under the name Caudoviricetes sp. RNAcentral describes it as "tRNA-OTHER". It matches the Rfam family "tRNA". From Rfam's summary of the family: Transfer RNA (tRNA) molecules are approximately 80 nucleotides in length. Their secondary structure includes four short double-helical elements and three loops (D, anti-codon, and T loops). Further hydrogen bonds mediate the characteristic L-shaped molecular structure. tRNAs have two regions of fundamental functional importance: the anti-codon, which is responsible for specific mRNA codon recognition, and the 3' end, to which the tRNAs corresponding amino acid is attached (by aminoacyl-tRNA synthetases). tRNAs cope with the degeneracy of the genetic code in two manners: having more than one tRNA (with a specific anti-codon) for a particular amino acid; and 'wobble' base-pairing, i.e. permitting non-standard base-pairing at the 3rd anti-codon position. The record is from RNAcentral. Lineage: Duplodnaviria; Heunggongvirae; Uroviricota; Caudoviricetes.